AUCUUCAGGGUCGGGUGAAAGUCCCAACUGGCGGUAAAGUCCGCGACCUGUCUUCUGCAGUGGCAGAGGAUGGCUGAACCGGUGAUCUGCAGAUCAGAGAUUCCGGUACCAACAGUAAAGUCUGGAUGAAAGAAGAUG
RNAcentral lists this non-coding RNA (138 nucleotides) under uncultured Ruminococcus sp. Its description in RNAcentral is "FMN riboswitch (RFN element)". It matches the Rfam family "FMN riboswitch aptamer (RFN element)". From Rfam's summary of the family: The RFN element is a highly conserved domain that is found frequently in the 5'-untranslated regions of prokaryotic mRNAs that encode for flavin mononucleotide (FMN) biosynthesis and transport proteins. This element is a metabolite-dependent riboswitch that directly binds FMN in the absence of proteins. In Bacillus subtilis, the riboswitch most likely controls gene expression by causing premature transcription termination within the 5' untranslated region of the ribDEAHT operon and precluding access to the ribosome-binding site of ypaA mRNA. The record is from RNAcentral. Lineage: Bacteria; Bacillati; Bacillota; Clostridia; Eubacteriales; Oscillospiraceae.